GUGCCCUUUUAAGGCUGACACAGUGCCUGAAGAGGCUAACACAGGAGGGUAAAGAACCCAGAGAAGAGAUUUUUAGAACUCCUCUCUGGAUCCUGUCUGGAGUCACAACU
Molecule: small nucleolar RNA, 110 nt
Filed under: Cervus hanglu yarkandensis (Yarkand deer)
Lineage: Eukaryota; Metazoa; Chordata; Mammalia; Artiodactyla; Cervidae
Description: Small nucleolar RNA SNORA26 (ENSCHYG00000020228.1)
Rfam family: Small nucleolar RNA SNORA26
About the family: The snoRNA HBI-6 belong to the H/ACA family of snoRNAs, guiding the pseudouridylation of position U4522 if the 28S rRNA. HBI-6 is the human orthologue of mouse MBI-6 snoRNA.
Source: Rfam by way of RNAcentral